This 87-nucleotide transfer RNA is filed under the name Terriglobia bacterium. RNAcentral's name for it is "tRNA-Leu". It matches the Rfam family "tRNA". From Rfam's summary of the family: Transfer RNA (tRNA) molecules are approximately 80 nucleotides in length. Their secondary structure includes four short double-helical elements and three loops (D, anti-codon, and T loops). The record is from RNAcentral. Lineage: Bacteria; Pseudomonadati; Acidobacteriota; Terriglobia.
GCUGGAGUGGCGGAACUGGCAGACGCACGAGACUCAAAAUCUCGCGUCCCGUUAAGGGACAUGGGGGUUCAACUCCCCCCUCCAGCA